This 253-nucleotide ribosomal RNA is filed under the name uncultured bacterium. Its description in RNAcentral is "partial 16S ribosomal RNA". It matches the Rfam family "Bacterial small subunit ribosomal RNA", at positions 524 to 776 of the family's 1533-position model. The record is from RNAcentral.
UACAGAGGUCCCAAGCGUUGUUCGGAUUCACUGGGCGUAAAGGGUGCGUAGGCGGUCGGGUAAGUCUGAUGUGAAAUCUCACAGCUUAACUGUGAAACUGCAUUGGAUACUAUCCGGCUCGAGGAAUGGAGGGGAGACUGGAAUACUUGGUGUAGCAGUGAAAUGCGUAGAUAUCAAGUGGAACACCAGUGGCGAAGGCGAGUCUCUGGACAUUUCCUGACGCUGAGGCACGAAAGACAGGGGAGCAAACGGG